GAAUUCGUGGUAGAUUACUAAGAUUGCCUCAGUAACGGCGAGUGAAGCGGCAAGAGCCCAAACUGCUAAUCUUCACACUGCGUGUGACGAAUUGUAAUCUAGAGGAUGUUCGCUCAAUGGGUCGUGGCGCAGAAGUGCCCUGGAACGGGCCGCCAGAGAGGGUGACAGUCCCGUAUGUGGUGCCAUAACCUAACGAGCGGGUGUUCGACGAGUCGGGUUGUUUUGUAUUGCAGCCCUAAGUGGGAGAUAAACUUCUUCUAAGGCUAAAUAUCUAUGGGAAACCGAUAGCGAACAAGUACUGUGAAGGAAAGAUGAAAAGAACUUUGGAAAGAGAGUCAAAAGACUUGAAAUCGUUGAGAAGGAAGCGGUAGAAAUUUAUUCUUCGGCUGGGGACGGUGGCGGUUGCUUGGUCUAUUGCCGGUCUGCAGUACCUUCAUCGGGCUGCUCUCUGGUACCUGGAUCGGCGGCCGUUUUGCCCCUAGUCGUGAGGCAAAAUGGGGUCGUGCAUCCGCAGAUGCCCUUCGAGCCUGGUGUCUUUUAUAGGCGCAGUUCGGGGGUUGUUGGUGGAAGUGCGGCCUGAGGGUGCUUUGUGCGAUUUUGCCAAAAUGGUUUUUACCGACCCGUCUUGAAACACGGACCAAGGAGUCUAACAUAUAUGCGAGUGUGCUGGUGGAGAAACCAACACGCAUAAUGAAAGUGAGCGAUGCCAAGCGCAAGCAGCAGCAUCGACCGACCAUGAUCCUCCGGUGAAAGGUUUGAGUACGAGCAUAUCUGUUAGGACCCGAAAGAUGGUGAACUAUGCCUGAGUAGGGUGAAGCCAGGGGAAACUCUGGUGGAAGCUCGUAGCGAUACUGACGUGCAAAUCGUUCGUCGAACUUGGGUAUAGGGGCGAAAGACUAAUCGAACCAUCUAGUAGCUGGGUUCCCUCCGAAGUUUCCCUCAGGAUAGCUGGGACAAUAUCGCAGUUUUAUUAGGUAAAGCGAAUGAUUAGAGGCAUCGGGGGUAAACUAUCCUCGACCUAUUCUCAAACUUUAAAUUGGUAAGAACCCUGGCCUUUCUUAAUUGAGGCAUGGGGACUGAAUGCGUGUCCUUAGUGGGCCAUUUUUGGUAAGCAGAACUGGCGAUGAGGGAUGCUCCUAACGUUGAGUUAAGGUGCCCAACUGCACGCUCAUCAGAUACCACAAAGGGUGUUGGUUCAUGAAGACAGCAGGCCGGUGGCCAUGGAAGUCGGAACCCGCUAAGGAGUGUGUAACAACUCCCCUGCCGAAUGAACUAGCCCCGAAAAUGGAUGGCGCUUAAGCGUGCGACCGAUACUCGACCAUUGUAGCGAGAGUGAGGCUGCAAUGAGUAGGAGGGCGUGAGCGUUGUUGCGAAGCCUCUGACGUGAGUCUGGGUUGAACAGCGUUUAGUGCAGAUCUUGGUGGUAGUAGCAAUUAUUCAAAUGAGAACUUUGAAGGCCGAAGUGGAGAAGGUUUCCGUGAGAACAGCAAUUGGUCACGGGUGACUCGAUCCUAAGACAUGGGGGAAUUCCUUGUUAAGUGUGCCAUCUCUGGCGCGUAGUCGAAAGGGAAUGAGGUUAAUAUUCCUCAAGCUGGAUGUGGAUAUUGUAUGGUAACAUAAGUGAGCUCAGAGACGCCAGCGUGAGCCUCUGGAAGAGUUCUCUUUUCUUUUUAACAGGCUAGCGACCUUGAAAUUGGAUUAUCCAGAGCUAAGGUCGUAUGCCUGGAAGAGCACCUUGCUUUUCGAGGGUGUCAGGUGCGCUCACGAUGGUCCUUGAAAAUCUGAGUGAGAGUCUUAUUUCACACCAGGUCGUACCCAUAACCGCAUCAGGCUUCCAAGGUUA
RNAcentral lists this ribosomal RNA (1843 nucleotides) under Arcuseries petzi. Its description in RNAcentral is "LSU rRNA". It matches the Rfam family "Eukaryotic large subunit ribosomal RNA", at positions 44 to 1875 of the family's 3401-position model. The record is from RNAcentral. Lineage: Eukaryota; Ciliophora; Spirotrichea; Urostylida; Urostylidae.